AUUUUUAUAGUGUAUUUAACACAUAACAUUUUCAUUGUUAAAAAGUCUUUUCCUUAAAAUA
Molecule: transfer RNA, 61 nt
Filed under: Ornithodoros brasiliensis
Lineage: Eukaryota; Metazoa; Arthropoda; Arachnida; Ixodida; Argasidae
Description: tRNA-Glu
Source: RNAcentral